This 254-nucleotide ribosomal RNA is filed under the name uncultured bacterium. Its description in RNAcentral is "partial 16S ribosomal RNA". It matches the Rfam family "Bacterial small subunit ribosomal RNA", at positions 524 to 776 of the family's 1533-position model. The record is from RNAcentral.
UACGUAGGGACCAAGCGUUGUUCGGAUUUACUGGGCGUAAAGGGCGCGUAGGCGGCAAAUUAAGUCAGCUGUGAAAUCUCCGAGCUUAACUCGGAACUGUCAGCUGAUACUGAUGUGCUAGAGUGCGGAAGGGGCAAUCGGAAUUCUUGGUGUAGCGGUGAAAUGCGUAGAUAUCAAGAGGAACACCUGAGGUGAAGGCGGGUUGCUGGGCCGGCACUGGCGCUGAGUGCGCGAAAGCCAGGGGAGCAAACGGG